This is a long non-coding RNA of Nicotiana attenuata, 1355 nucleotides long. RefSeq lists it as uncharacterized. The transcript is spliced from 6 exons. Lineage: Eukaryota; Viridiplantae; Streptophyta; Magnoliopsida; Solanales; Solanaceae. The record is from RefSeq and is a predicted model, not a curated record.
UUUUUCUUUUCCCUCCAAUUUUUUUCCCCUCUAAAUCUUCUCCCGCCUGAAUAGUAUAUCACUUCUCUGAUUUGCCUAAAAAAAGGAAAACCUACGCCUCUAAGAAUUAGGUCUCAUUCUUAAAAAACUUUUUACAAUUUUCAUGGUGUAAGAAAACGUUCGCCUCUAGCAACCAAAAUUUUCGCCAAUUGAAAGAAAAAGUUCUCUAUCCCAACACGUGGAGAAGCGUAUGUCUUAAAGUCAAUUGGAAAAAAAAUGGAAAGAUUACAAAUGCGAUUUAAAAAGUGAAUAUUUUGAAAAAUAUAAGACCAAAGAUGCUUUGCUGAAGAAUAGACCAGCAAGUCGCAUACCAAGGGAUCAAUGGACUGGUCUUGUUUCUUAUUGGCUUUCUGAUAAAGCUAAGAGGUGUACCCAGGCAAAUAAAAAUAAUAGGGCCAAACAAAAUAUGACUCACACAGGAGGAUCCAAAAGUAUUGCCACCUUAAUGGAUGCGCAGGCCAAGAAUGGUAUAGAGCCUACACGAGCAGAAAUAUUUAUACCGACACACAUAAAACAUAAGGAUGGUAGACUAUUGGAUGAGGAGUCUACAAAGGCAGUUGACAUGAUGAACGAAAGGUUGAGGGAUACUGACGGAUCAAAUGACCAGCCUCCCCGCAGUGUUGCUUGGGAAGGAGAUGUGUAUUCCCAAGUGUUGAAAAUGAUAAAAGUGGGUAUGUUCGUGGAUUAGGACUUGGUCCAACCCCUUCUAUGUUGUGGGGCAGUAGAUCUUCCUUAGGAAAUAUUGUUAUAGAGGAUUCGUCUGAUGAGGUUGUACAAGAACUAAAGCACUAGAUAACAGAGUUAAAAGAGUUAAAUAAAAAACAAAAUGAUGAAAUGAGUUUUAUGAGACAAGAACUAUCAUGGAUGCGGCAAGUCCUGAGAAAAAUUGCUCCAAAUGAGUUACCUAUGCCUCAGAAUAUCAAUGGAGUCUCAACUGGAGAGGUCGUUGAUACCAACCGUGGCCAUGAGGGAAUACCACAAUCACCCAAUAUGUAUAAUGUAGCUGGAAAUACUCCGUCGUCUCGUGGUACUUUUCUGUGCUUUCACAUAAACUCUUUUUUGUUCUAUUCAUUCUAUAAGUGAAAAGCAUUAUGUAAGAAAUAUAUUAAUGCAAACCUUGACAGACUGUAGCAAAGGAUUAUUAGUUUAGUUUUAUCUAGUAAUCAUUCAUCCUGUGAAGUGGCUUUGUGUGUCGUCGGCCAUUUUGGUUGUAUUUACAUGAUUAUGUGUAGCUGAUUCAUAGAGAGAUACCUUAAGGCAUAGAAACUCAAAUAAAAAGAUACGUCCUCAAGUGAGUUGGUAGAGACUCACUUUAU